Molecule: long non-coding RNA, 1174 nt
Organism: Culex quinquefasciatus (southern house mosquito)
Lineage: Eukaryota; Metazoa; Arthropoda; Insecta; Diptera; Culicidae
Exons: 4
Source: RefSeq, a predicted model, not a curated record
GAGAAGCUCCACGCUGUGUGUCGAUCGGUUUACCGCGUGGACGGCGAAUCUGUCCGGUCGUCGAAACCGCGUGAGCGGAGAGAAACCCGCCGCCGGGGAUAAUAUCCGUUCCCGGACAUCGCGACUUCACGACGUCGGCUUCGUUGAGCCGCAGAUUGGGCCGGCCAAAUAGGAUUCGCUUCCAGAAAAACUCCACACGAAAAGCCACAACAUCCUGCUGCCGCGGUAAUUCCGGCGUGUUGGCCAACCAGCAAGGUCACGGCAAACGGAUCCCGCAUCGAAGAACAAGCUGACAAAUUUGGCCACGGACGGAACAAAGACCGGCGGGAAAGAAAGACGCUCGACGGUGCGAAACACCAGUGGCACGACGAGCACGCGCGCAGGAAGACCCGAAUCGCAACGAAGAACCACAGAUCAGCGCGAUUCCGGCAGCAGACACGGAACGCAAGAGAAGCCCAGAGGUGCGAUUAAAAGCAGGCGCAGCCGCCAGAAGAUACACCGGCAUCGGCAGCUCACGACUCCCACAUCAUCGGGCUCGGCCCGAACGGAAUCCGCGCGGAAGAAGACGCAAAAAAGGCCCCAAAAAAGGGUGAGUGCCACGCCAAAGACGCCAUCUUGAACGGGAUACUAAUGUUGGUUUCUGCAGGGCCUUUUGUGUGGAGUUUUCGCUCGACGGGCGCAGCAUCGCACGGAGCAAGUGGCAAUCGGCCAGCAUCGCCGUCGGACACUGUGACCAGCGGCGGAUCGGCUGGGCGAGCGGACAUCGGCCGAAAUCACUGUCGAACGUUGUGCCUACGGCGUUUCGGCGGAGCGGUGAGUGGAAGACAUUCAUCACAUCGGCUCGGAGAAGUCGUGUGCCAGCGAGCCGGAUUUGAAGAACGGCGACGUGCGCCGAGGAGCAGCAUCGCCAAGGGCGGUGGCGGAAGAACACAGCUGGAUGAGCGGGCUGAGCAGCACGCGAAGGGGGUAGGAAGAACAGUGGCGCCACUGGUAAGAAGAAAACCGCGCAUGUCUCGCGCUUAGAUAUUAAGAGAAAGUCAAGGCUUGCUAGGAAAGUUUAGGCUACGGUAAAGAACAUGAAGCCCGAGGGGCAACGUGGGGUGUUGGUACGGUAAAUACAAGCAUGUGAGCCAAAAUGUUUGCUUUGUUGGGUAUUUUAUUGAGCUAGCCGGAA